ACUGGGAGUUUCAGGACAAAUUAUCCACACAAGUAUUAUGAGAAACAUAAGCAUAUUAUGACAUCAGUUUGCAUAAUAUAAUACUGUAAAUAUUUGUUAAUAGUUCACUGACCUCUCACUUGUAAUGUCAUUGAUAAAAGAUAAACAAUUGUGUUCAUAAAUGGUCUGACUUCAUAGAAAUGUAAUGGGUUUAGAAGACUAUAAGAGCUGGGUGUUUGUCUUUCUGUCUAAACCACAUAACCACCUGAUGCUCUUAUUUGUAAACAAAAAGUGAAAGCGUCAUAUUGAAAGUAAAACUAUGGUCCCUCUAUUACUAUAAUAGCCCCAUUUACAAGAAAUGGCUAGAGAAAUAGAAGAGCUAGACAGUCCUCCUCACUUGAAUUUCACUUUCUACUGUGCAGGUAUAAAUAGGUGCUGGUGAAAUCUUUUUAUCAGAACUAUAUCAGAAUCUCAGCCUCAGGAGGAACUAGUACCAACAAGAAAAGCAAACAUGGGUGGAGAAGAAUCAACCCCAUCACCACCCCCAUCACCACCCCCACCAAAGGAAUUUGACCAACAAUGGAGGAAAACAUGUUGGAGGUAAGUACUGUACUGACUGACCGAUAUGAAGGAGAAAGAGAGAAAGUAAAACAAACGUUUAGGUUAUAAUUACAAUCACUAUCAUGGGUUGUGUGAAUGGUGUGCUAUACUAAAUUGCUGAUAUCAGUUUUCCCACCAUCUUAAAUUAGUCCUGGUGUUAUCUUGAUACAAUUUCCCUG
Molecule: long non-coding RNA, 758 nt
Filed under: Salmo trutta (river trout)
Lineage: Eukaryota; Metazoa; Chordata; Actinopteri; Salmoniformes; Salmonidae
Description: lncRNA (ENSSTUG00000036535.1)
Source: RNAcentral